This 332-nucleotide ribosomal RNA is filed under the name uncultured eukaryote. RNAcentral describes it as "partial 18S ribosomal RNA". It matches the Rfam family "Eukaryotic small subunit ribosomal RNA", at positions 1470 to 1796 of the family's 1831-position model. The record is from RNAcentral.
CCCUUAGAUGUUCUGGGCCGCACGCGCGCUACACUGUUCGACGCAGCGAGUCUUAACCUUGACCGAAAGGUUUGGGUAAUCUUCAGCAAAGUCGAACGUGAUGGGGAUCGAUCAUUGCAAUUAUUGAUCGUGAACGAGGAAUUCCUAGUAAGUGCAAGUCAUCAGCUUGCGCUGAUUACGUCCCUGCCCUUUGUACACACCGCCCGUCGCUACUACCGAUUGAAUGGUUUAGUGAGAUCUCGGGAUUGACGCUGGCUAGGGGGCGACCCUUGGCCAGACUGCUCGAGAAACUGCUCAAACUUGAUCAUUUAGAGGAAGUAAAAGUCGUAACA